UUGGGGGNCAGAAAACCCAUGACAGNCGCAGGUAAAGAAACCCCGGCUAACUCCGUGCCAGCAGCCGCGGUAAUACGGAGGGGGUUAGCGUUGUUCGGAAUUACUGGGCGUAAAGCGCACGUAGGCGGACUAANNAGUCAGGGGUGAAAUCCCGGGUUUUUUUUCNCGGAACUGNUUUUGAUACUGNUAGUCUUGAGUACGAGAGAGGUGAGUGGAAUUCCAAGUGUAGAGGUGAAAUUCGUAGAUAUUUNGAGGAACACCAGUGGCGAAGGCGGCUCACUGGCUCGAUACUGACGCUGAGGUGCGAAAGUGUGGGGAGCAAAACAGGAUUAGAUACCCUGGNAGUCCACAGCCGCAAACGAUGAAUGCCAGACGUCGGGCAGU
Molecule: ribosomal RNA, 384 nt
Filed under: uncultured bacterium
Lineage: Bacteria
Description: partial 16S ribosomal RNA
Rfam family: Bacterial small subunit ribosomal RNA
Source: RNAcentral